UACGGAGGGAGCUAGCGUUGUUCGGAAUUACUGGGCGUAAAGCGCGCGUAGGCGGCUUUGUAAGUUAGAGGUGAAAGCCCGGGGCUCAACCCCGGAACUGCCUUUAAGACUGCAUCGCUUGAAUCCGGGAGAGGUGAGUGGAAUUCCGAGUGUAGAGGUGAAAUUCGUAGAUAUUCGGAAGAACACCAGUGGCGAAGGCGGCUCACUGGACCGGUAUUGACGCUGAGGUGCGAAAGCGUGGGGAGCAAACAGGAUUAGAAACCCUCGUAGUCC
This 273-nucleotide ribosomal RNA is filed under the name uncultured bacterium. Its description in RNAcentral is "partial 16S ribosomal RNA". It matches the Rfam family "Bacterial small subunit ribosomal RNA", at positions 524 to 796 of the family's 1533-position model. The record is from RNAcentral.